AAUCUUCCACAAUGGGCGAAAGCCUGAUGGAGCAACGCCGCGUGAGUGAAUAAGGAUUUCUGAUCGUAAAACACGGUUGUAUGGGAAGAACAAGUACGGCAGUAACUGCCGGUAACUUGUCGGUACCCUACUAGAAAGCCACGGCGAACAACGUGCCAUCAGCCGCGGUAAUACGUAGGUGGCAAGCGUUGUCCGGAAUUAUUGGGCGUAAAGCGCGCGCAGGCGGUCCUUUAAGUCUGAUGUGAAAGCCCACGGCUCCACCGUAGAGGGUCAUUGGAAACUGGGGGACUUGAGUGCAGAAGAGGAAAAUGGAAUUCCAAGUGUAGCGGUGAAAUGCGUAGAGAUUUGGAGGAACACCAGUGGCGAAGGCGACUUUCUGGUCUGUAACUGACGCUGAGGCGCGAAAGCGUGGGGAGCAAACAGG
Molecule: ribosomal RNA, 424 nt
Filed under: uncultured bacterium
Lineage: Bacteria
Description: partial 16S ribosomal RNA
Rfam family: Bacterial small subunit ribosomal RNA
Source: RNAcentral